CGAAUAUCAUUUAACUUGGUUGGCGGGUAUUAAUCUUAGCUUGUGUUUUAUGUUCUUGCUUGUAGUUUUUUAGAAGGUUCCCUUGUUUUCAUAGUGUAUUUUACUUCACUAUUUCCUUAAUAGAAUUUCUUUCCUUAUUAAAAAAAGGCCUAAUGAAAAAUAAACUUAUAUUUUACUUUUUUUCAAUUUUAUUCAAAACUUUUAAUUUUGGCAAUUUUAUCCAAAUCGCCAAAAGUUGUUGAAAUUCUAUCUAAUUUUUACCUACCGAAUCUUCAACUCUAUUUAUUGACUUGUCUAUGGCUACCAAUGAAGAUCCAAUCUUACCAUUACCAUAAACUCCUCUAGAAUUUCAUUUUUGUACCCAUGGGCCAUCAAUUGGUGUCGAGAUUUGGUAGCAGUGAGAUGAGAGAGUGGACAAACAAAUCACCUCGAUUUGGCCAAAUGGGUAAGUAUUUUAAUGCAUUAUGACAAACAAACCGCCCUGAUUUGGCC
This 492-nucleotide unclassified non-coding RNA is filed under the name Hevea brasiliensis (rubber tree). The record is from RNAcentral. Lineage: Eukaryota; Viridiplantae; Streptophyta; Magnoliopsida; Malpighiales; Euphorbiaceae.